Zophobas morio is the source of this 959-nucleotide long non-coding RNA. RefSeq lists it as uncharacterized. Lineage: Eukaryota; Metazoa; Arthropoda; Insecta; Coleoptera; Tenebrionidae. The record is from RefSeq and is a predicted model, not a curated record. The transcript is spliced from 2 exons.
AAGUCGUGUAAAUUUACAAUUAUUUUACUGUUGCUUUUUAUGUAUUUUUUUACUUAAAUUUAGUAAAUUUACGUAAGUUAGCAGCAUUGUGCAUAAAAUAAGUAAACUUGUGUCACUAUUUGUAUUUUCACAAGUCAAAUUGAAAAAACACAAUACAGAAUCGCAAUUGUAAAUGUAUAUUCACUUUAUAAAUGAAUUAUACUUUAUAAUACCGUAAAUAUACUAACAUUUUUUACAAUUACUUCCAACUUUGUAAAAUAAUCCAGUCUACCGGUGAAAUCACAUGCAUACUGUGAAUUGUUGAUGCGCACGCAAUCAUUACUAUAACGCUUGCAGGUUAUAACAAGUUGGAGUGCAUUAGUUGUGGUAAUAUAUUUUGUACAAAAUAGUGUAUUUUGUUGUUAAAGGUAAGUACUUUACUAUUCUGGUUUACUAUUUUCCUCCAGUUACAAAAGUACACUUUCCAGGCGGAUAAUUACUUACUAUAAUUUGCCCAUGUCAUCUUUAAUUGUUAUGUUAAUGCAAUUUUUAUCACAGGGUGAUGAUAUGAAUAAUUUAAAUGAAAUUAUCAAGGUGGCUGCGCCAUGUGUAAUUGAAAUAGAGAGCGAUCCACAAACAAUUUAUCACGUAGUUUUAAAACGACAAGUAGUGAUUCCAAGUGUUGUCACUUUAAAAGAUGCAGUAUCUUGGGCGUUUGGAUUAUAUUUUAUAAUGAAUUUAGAAUAUCCAGACAAAGUAUCAGCAGUUUUGGAAAUGAUGCAAAGAUUUUUUUUGAAAAUACAUCCAGAUCAAGGAUCCAAAUCAAAAAGAGUAACACCAACAAAACGCAAAGUAAUUGGCUUUAUGAACAAAUUAAAUUAAUGUAAAGUAUAUACAACAUCAAUGACUUUGUUUUGUGUUUAUGAUUUUAUUACAUGUUUAUUAUGUUUUUCACCAUAAAAUAAAAGGUUCACUUUGUC